This is a long non-coding RNA of Oncorhynchus kisutch (coho salmon), 517 nucleotides long. RefSeq lists it as uncharacterized. The record is from RefSeq and is a predicted model, not a curated record. NCBI's taxonomy places the organism in Eukaryota, Metazoa, Chordata, Actinopteri, Salmoniformes, Salmonidae. The transcript has 3 exons.
AGAGAGAGAGAGAGAGAGAGAGAGAGAGAGAGAGAGAGAGAGAGAGAGAGAGAGAGAGGAAGGGAGGGGGAAGAGACAAGCCAGCGGAGGGAGCAGAGACAAAGCUUGCUGACGGAGGAAGUGAAGUGUGCUCUGCAGCAUGUGGACCAUGUGCUCAGCAGAUAACUGCCGAGUGUCGAGCCCACGGAAGGUGUUUGCAACCAUGGGCUCUCUGCUGCACAGCUGUCGGUGUUUGGAGCAGCAAGGAGCGGAGGAAAGAGCCUCGACCCUGGAGACAGACAACCACAAAAACCUGUCCAUCAGAACCUGAAAUCGUCAAGAUGACAUGGUGGAGACAUCCUUCUACAGGUAAUUGGUCUUUUUCUAGCUGUUAUACAGAGUUUAUGGAGGAUUACAUUUUCCUGUUUGUCCAGGCCCUCCGAUGUAGGCUUUCAAAUGAAACCUCUUGACUUUUUCCACGUUUCGUUACAGCCUAAAAUUCUAAAAUUGAUUAAAAUGGUUUUUUUCCCCCCUCAUC